RNAcentral lists this transfer RNA (71 nucleotides) under Fukomys damarensis (Damara mole-rat). It matches the Rfam family "tRNA". Rfam says of the family: Transfer RNA (tRNA) molecules are approximately 80 nucleotides in length. Their secondary structure includes four short double-helical elements and three loops (D, anti-codon, and T loops). Further hydrogen bonds mediate the characteristic L-shaped molecular structure. tRNAs have two regions of fundamental functional importance: the anti-codon, which is responsible for specific mRNA codon recognition, and the 3' end, to which the tRNAs corresponding amino acid is attached (by aminoacyl-tRNA synthetases). tRNAs cope with the degeneracy of the genetic code in two manners: having more than one tRNA (with a specific anti-codon) for a particular amino acid; and 'wobble' base-pairing, i.e. permitting non-standard base-pairing at the 3rd anti-codon position. The record is from Rfam by way of RNAcentral. Lineage: Eukaryota; Metazoa; Chordata; Mammalia; Rodentia; Bathyergidae.
CUGGGUGUACCUCAAUGGCAGAGUUUGUGCUUAGCACGCAUGAGGCCUGGGUUCAAUCUCUAGCAUCCACA